This is a long non-coding RNA of Loxodonta africana (African savanna elephant), 883 nucleotides long. RefSeq lists it as uncharacterized. The record is from RefSeq and is a predicted model, not a curated record. The transcript has 3 exons. NCBI's taxonomy places the organism in Eukaryota, Metazoa, Chordata, Mammalia, Proboscidea, Elephantidae.
GAGGGGGAGGAGGAGGAGUCACGAGGAGGGUGGCCCCGGCCGGCCGAGCCUCUCGCUCCGGGCUCCCGGCCCUCGGCCCCAGCCCGCGCCUCCGUCCUGCCGGGCCAUGCUCUGUGCCCCUCGGCCUUCCCUUGCCUCCUCGCGGGCUCCGGAGAUCACCGGAAUGGGGACCGCGCUCUGCGCAUUUUGAGGGAAGAAUUGCGUGGACUCGAGCAAACGUACCCGCCCAACCAGCAUGAUGCCUGCGAUGUCCUGGAUACCAAGGGGCACAACACUGGAAUCGACUCGGACCCUGCCUGCCCACACGUUGCUCGAAAAUUAAUAGAGAUCGGACCUCUGCGCGAAAUCUUAGGCUUCAUCACAUGUCACCUGUGUCUCAGCAUGUCAUCUUUGUCACCAAGGCCAUCCACAGUCUGACCCCAGGAGCUGCCCUUAUCCCCACAGCCCUCUGGGUGGACAAGCUUCAGCUGGAGCAGCUUAAAACCACCUCAGACCCCCAGGAGUCUGCCUGCAGCCCACCUCUAGAUGAGCCUGAAGAUGAAACCACUUCUCAUGUUUUUUGGUGACAGCAAAUGGUGAUAAUACUGGCAUUGCAUGACUGCCAGGGAGAACCACCAUACUUUUUGACAUUCUGGAUUAGUGAGGGCCAUCAGCAGGUAGGACUUCCACAGACUCUCUCUGAUUUCAGGUUCAUGGGAAACCAUGGUUAAUACAUAUGACUGGUCAUUAAAUUUCAGUUUAGCCCCUAGUCCCACCCUCUAACCUCCUUUCCCACCCAGCCAUCACUGAUGCUAAAACAAAGUGAAUGGUUUAAGUUUUUUCUUUGAAUAUGAGUAAGAUAUGGACGAACCAAUAAAAUAUGAAUAAAAAAGUGAGAAAUUUG